This 253-nucleotide ribosomal RNA is filed under the name uncultured bacterium. RNAcentral's name for it is "partial 16S ribosomal RNA". It matches the Rfam family "Bacterial small subunit ribosomal RNA", at positions 524 to 776 of the family's 1533-position model. The record is from RNAcentral.
GACAGAGGUCCCGAGCGUUAGGCGGAAUCACUGGGCUUAAAGCGUGUGUAGGCGGAUGCCUAAGUACCUUGUGAAAUCCCACGGCUUAACCGUGGAACUGCUCGGUAUACUGGGUGUCUUGAGCCACUUAGGGGUUACCGGAACAAAUGGUGGAGCGGUGAAAUGCGUAGAUAUCAUUUGGAACGCCAAUGGUGAAAACAGGUAGCUGGGAGUGUGCUGACGCUGAGACACGAAAGCCAGGGGAGCGAACGGG